GUCGUACGCUUCUUUUUCCACCGGAGCUUGCUCCACCGGAAAAAGAAGAGUGGCGAACGGGUGAGUAACACGUGGGUAACCUGCCCAUCAGAAGGGGAUAACACUUGGAAACAGGUGCUAAUACCGUAUAACAAUCGAAACCGCAUGGUUUUGAUUUGAAAGGCGCUUUCGGGUGUCGCUGAUGGAUGGACCCGCGGUGCAUUAGCUAGUUGGUGAGGUAACGGCUCACCAAGGCCACGAUGCAUAGCCGACCUGAGAGGGUGAUCGGCCACAUUGGGACUGAGACACGGCCCAAACUCCUACGGGAGGCAGCAGUAGGGAAUCUUCGGCAAUGGACGAAAGUCUGACCGAGCAACGCCGCGUGAGUGAAGAAGGUUUUCGGAUCGUAAAACUCUGUUGUUAGAGAAGAACAAGGAUGAGAGUAACUGUUCAUCCCUUGACGGUAUCUAACCAGAAAGCCACGGCUAACUACGUGCCAGCAGCCGCGGUAAUACGUAGGUGGCAAGCGUUGUCCGGAUUUAUUGGGCGUAAAGCGAGCGCAGGCGGUUUCUUAAGUCUGAUGUGAAAGCCCCCGGCUCAACCGGGGAGGGUCAUUGGAAACUGGGAGACUUGAGUGCAGAAGAGGAGAGUGGAAUUCCAUGUGUAGCGGUGAAAUGCGUAGAUAUAUGGAGGAACACCAGUGGCGAAGGCGGCUCUCUGGUCUGUAACUGACGCUAAGGCUCGAAAGCGUGGGGAGCAAACAGGAUUAGAUACCCUGGUAGUCCACGCCGUAAACGAUGAGUGCUAAGUGUUGGAAGGGUUUCCGCCCUUCAGUGCUGCAGCUAACGCAUUAAGCACUCCGCCUGGGGGAGUACGACCGCAAGGUUGAAACUCAAAGGAAUUGACGGGGGCCCGCACAAGCGGUGGAACCAGGUGGUUUAAUUCGAAGCAACGCGAAGAACCUUACCAGGUCUUGACAUCCUUUGACCACUCUAGAGAUAGAGCUUCCCCUUCGGGGGCAAA
RNAcentral lists this ribosomal RNA (1002 nucleotides) under Enterococcus lactis. RNAcentral's name for it is "bacterial SSU rRNA". It matches the Rfam family "Bacterial small subunit ribosomal RNA", at positions 61 to 1030 of the family's 1533-position model. Lineage: Bacteria; Bacillati; Bacillota; Bacilli; Lactobacillales; Enterococcaceae. The record is from RNAcentral.